UUUUUUAUCCUUUUAUGCCUAGUUCGAUGCCGACGUUGUGAUCUCUCAUUGGAGGGUGCAUUCGUUCAAUGCACCCAUGCGUGCAUAGUACGCCGACUCUUUGAAUUCCCUUUCCCUUUCCCCAUUUCCAUUUCCAUUUUCACCCAAGCCCGAGCCCAAGAGCAAGAGACCACCGGCAGCAACUCCAACAAGCUCUGACGGCAUGGAGCCAACUGGCAAUAAGAAUAAGCCGAAUCCCUUCUUCUCAUUCUCCUUCCAACCCUAUAUUAUUCCUCUUUGUUAAUAUCAUCUUCCUUUCUCUUCUUCUAGCAACAGACCACCGGCGGCGAUUUCAUUGUUUCACCGAACUCCAACGGCAUGUAGUCAACCGGCGGAGACCACCGGCAAUGAUUUCAUUGUUUCACCAAGCUCCGACAGCGAUUGCCAUCCAAUUCUGAUGGCAUGUCACCUAGCGGGAGGUCGGUGUCGUCAAGCUCAAAGAAACAAUUGUGCCUCCGAGAUUUUGCAUGUUAUGUCAGCUACGAUGAACCCAAACGAUAUUGAAUGGAAAACGGAAAGAACCUGAUUUUCCAUUGAAGGGGUACAAGUGUUUCUUGUUUAUAUGUUCCCGGCGAAGAAGUUGGUGCCAUAUGGAGAUUUCAUUGGUGCCUUUUACUUUCAAGCUUCUUACAGUUUCUCCGAUGAAGUUAUUAUCAAGCAAAAUCCAAUUUGCUCCUAUUGGAUUAGUCGACAUGCUUAAUACCAGAGGUGCCAUUCAAUCACUGGAGUAGGAUGACAAGACAAGCUCGGUUCGAAUUGGAGUGAGGGAAACCGGAGAGAUGAGGUUGUUUGCAUCAAAAGAAACCAAAAGUUUGUUUAAUUGAUGGUGAAGAGGUGCAUUUACGUUCGAGGAACACAUAGUUGUGAUUCAAGUUCCAUGGCCUAAUGGAUUAAUGUUCGAUUUUUAUUGAACUAAAUUUAUGUAAUGUGAAUUACGUAGUAAAGUGUGCUCUGUUAUUUAUUGUCUA
Molecule: non-coding RNA, 1007 nt
Organism: Nelumbo nucifera (sacred lotus)
Lineage: Eukaryota; Viridiplantae; Streptophyta; Magnoliopsida; Proteales; Nelumbonaceae
Source: RefSeq, a predicted model, not a curated record